RNAcentral lists this long non-coding RNA (1218 nucleotides) under Crocodylus porosus (Australian saltwater crocodile). RNAcentral describes it as "lncRNA (ENSCPRG00005015323.1)". Lineage: Eukaryota; Metazoa; Chordata; Crocodylia; Crocodylidae. The record is from RNAcentral.
CCCAGGGGCCCGCCAAGCCUGCCCCAGCCAGCACCUCAUGGCCCCACAGCUUAGAGCUACGUCUAACCUACUCCACUUAAAGGCCGAUUCCCCCGGGCGGGCGCCGCGCAGGCAGCAGCGGGUGGGUGGAUGAAAUCCCUACGGGGACAGGCAGGCCGCGGCACUGUCACGGCUCCCGGUUCCCGGCUCCCAUCUCGGGAAGGCUCCAUUCUUCCCCACCCCCACAGGCUGCGUGUGGCCGGGGCCGGGGCCGGGGCCUGGGCGGCGGCCACUCACCACGGCGGGGUGACUCCGUGCGGGCAGGCCUCGCGCUCCGCUUCCAGUCACCGGGAGCGAGCGGCCCCAUCAAGGCCGCGGCCGGGCAGCGGGGUACAGCCGAACCAGCCGCUCACCGCACCCGCUGCUGCUGUUGGUAGCCAUUUUAAUCCUCCUUCUUCGGCUGCCGCCGCUCCAGCUCUUCCCGAACCCCCUCCCUCCCAGUCCGGCCGCGCUCCGCCCCGCCGCCGCCGCCUUCCCGCGGGAAUGCGGCACUCGCCCGCGCCCGGCAGGAAGGGCCGUUGCCCUGACACUGGGGAGCCCCCAGCGGCAUCCUGCCCCAAAGGGGCUGGCGAGGUGCUGUUUUCUUCCAGGCUCAGAAAACUGUUAUGCCAAGACAGACUUCCACUUCCUCACUCCUCCAGUGUAAACCACUUAAAUUUUGCUGGUGAACAGAUCUGUUAUGCAACUUCUGAAAAGUUAUGCUGGAGCAGGAGGAAGAAUCAGGUUUCAAAACUCCAGCAACAAUUGUGGAUGGUUCUCAAUCGGUGACAAUCUGGAAUGGUUUAUUUGUUAUGUGUCUGCACCCUAUGAUGAGGAAAACUGACCCCAGCUUCUACAUUAGGCUACCUAAUAGCUUGUUAUAAAUGUUAUGACCUUUUAUUUGAGAAGCUUCCAUGUCACUGUUUGCAAAUGGCUGUUGAUUGUGAGUAAGGGCAACAUGUUUAUUCUUUAUCCAGUUAUAAUUGAGCCAAAUCUGAAAAUAAUUUAACACAGGAACACAAGAGAGGCAACUAAGAGAAAACAUUGACAGCCUAUCAAGAGAAGUAGUCAAAUCCAGUUCUGAGGCCAGACUGUCACCACUGGCAAAGCAGUAGCAGGGCCACAACAAUGGGGAUGCUAUGGAACUGCUGGAGGAACAAAGAGAGGAAAAAAAAUAAAGCCGCUUUGGAUUCUCUUACA